This 620-nucleotide ribosomal RNA is filed under the name uncultured bacterium. RNAcentral's name for it is "bacterial SSU rRNA". It matches the Rfam family "Bacterial small subunit ribosomal RNA", at positions 68 to 681 of the family's 1533-position model. The record is from RNAcentral.
GGCAGCACGGGGGCAACCCUGGUGGCGAGUGGCGAACGGGUGAGUACAUCAUCGGAACGUGUCCUCUUGUGGGGGAUAACCAGUCGAAAGGCUGGCUAAUACCGCAUGAGCCUGAGAGGGGAAAGCGGGGGAUUCGAAAGAACCUCGCGCGAGAGGAGCGGCCGAUGUCCGAUUAGCUAGUUGGCGGGAUAACAGCCCACCAAGGCAACGAUCGGUAGCUGGUCUGAGAGGAUGAUCAGCCACACUGGGACUGAGACACGGCCCAGACUCCUACGGGAGGCAGCAGUGGGGAAUUUUGGACAAUGGGGGCAACCCUGAUCCAGCCAUGCCGCGUGUGUGAAGAAGGCCUUCGGGUUGUAAAGCACUUUCGGGCGGAACGAAAUCGCACGGGUUAAUACCACGUGUGGAUGACGGUACCGCAAGAAGAAGCACCGGCUAAUUACGUGCCAGCAGCCGCGGUAAUACGUAGGGUGCGAGCGUUAAUCGGAAUUACUGGGCGUAAAGCGUGCGCAGGCGGUUACGCAAGUCAGGUGUGAAAGCCCCGAGCUUAACUUGGGAAUGGCAUUUGAAACUACGUGACUGGAGUGUGGCAGAGGGAGGUGGAAUUCCACGUGUAGCGG